CCCUUAGAUGUUCUGGGCCGCACGCGCGCUACACUGACUGACUCAACGAGUGUACAACCUGCUUCGACAGAAGUGGGUAAUCUUUUGAAAUUCAGUCGUGAUGGGGCUAGAUUAUUGCAACUAUUAAUCUUCAACGAGGAAUGCCUAGUAAGCGCGAAUCAUCAGUUCGCGUUGAUUACGUCCCUGCCCUUUGUACACACCGCCCGUCGCUCCUACCGAUUGAACGUUUUAGUGAGGUACUCGGACUGAGCCUCAGAAGAUUCACGUCUUUUGUGCUGCUCGGGAAGAUUCCCAAACUUGAGCGUUUAGAGGAAGUAAAAGUCGUAACA
RNAcentral lists this ribosomal RNA (329 nucleotides) under uncultured eukaryote. RNAcentral's name for it is "partial 18S ribosomal RNA". It matches the Rfam family "Eukaryotic small subunit ribosomal RNA", at positions 1470 to 1796 of the family's 1831-position model. The record is from RNAcentral.